This is a non-coding RNA of Pantherophis guttatus, 1262 nucleotides long. The record is from RefSeq and is a predicted model, not a curated record. Lineage: Eukaryota; Metazoa; Chordata; Lepidosauria; Squamata; Colubridae.
CAGUUCAUCUUAGGUUAAUGCAAUUGUGAGAGGAGAAUUAGUAACUUCUGCUUCAGGCAUAGAAUACUGCAGUUUAGUACGUCAUCCUAGCUAUUACCCAGUUAGCCAAUUUUAUAAUCUGCGAUUUCAUUAUGCAGCAAAAGAUUUAAUUUCUAUUUCUAUAACCAUCCCAAAACAAGUGACUUGGUGGCAUACAUCUGGGAGGUGUACAUCAUUUUAAAAUGAUUGUCUGAAUAAGUCCUUAACCAGUUACAUCAGCAAUCUCCAACCUUUUGGGUACCAGGGACCAGUUCUGUGGAAUAUAUACAUAACAUAGAUACAUACUUACAUAUAUGGAUGGUAUAGUGUACUUACGUUAUAGUACUCCAAACAAUGCAUUGAAAAUAUGUCUUAAAUUGAAAGGGGAGAAAUUUGAACCCAACACUAAAAAAAAAUUGUGUCAGAUAUAAUGAUGUCAGUGAUGAAUGUUCUUCUUUCUGUCUGCCUCCCCCUCCACAAGUUAAUUAGCUUUUGCAAAAAAUGUCAUUUAUUUAGGUAUGGCUUGCCAGUUAAUUUCCAGGCUAUGCUCCUUCAACCCAACAAGAGAACAAUGAAGAAAUUGAGAGAGAUCCUCUAUGAUUUGUACAAACAUCUUGAUAGUAGUGCUGCAGCAAUCAUUGAUGCAACCAUGGAUAUUCCAGGUUUGAAUCUCAGUCAGCAAGAAUACUAUCCUUACGUGUACUACAAGAUAGACUGCAACUUGCUUGACUUCAAGUAGCUUCUUUCUGAACCUAGUGAUCCUCUCAUAGUGUUGAUGUACAAGCAAAAAAGGUUGAAGAAUGUCGCUCCUAAAUCUCUCAUAAACCCGUGCUUGCUUCUUUCUCCCUUUGCAUAGGAGAACAAUCCCCUUGGUGGUUGAUCCCUUGACAUUUUCUUUUUAAAGAGAAAUGUAAUUAUUGUUUUUAAUAGAUCAGGUAUGUAAUUGUAUAUUGAGAGAAUCAAGAGUGUAUUUAUAAAUAGUCCUUUAUUUAAAGAGUAAGAAACAAAAAGAGGUCAUUCCGCUUUCAUGCCAUGCCUCAUCAAGACCUUGUUUAUAUGACAAGAUAGUGGGGAAACAUGCCAUCGUUCACUGUGUUUUUCAUAGAUGUGCUAUAAACAUUGUAAUUGAAUUGUGAUGUAAAAUAUGUGCAGACUGAUAUUCAGUCGAUGCUUUCUGAAUGUUUUAAGUUUACAAGAUACUAAGCACUGCAUCCACCUAAGAAAAUAAAAACACCUGUACAAUU